AUGGGCAAGGCUGGCAGGUGGCUCAGAAGCUUCCUGACCGGCAAGAAGGCCAAGGACAGGGGGGCAGACGAGCCGGCCGCCAAGGAGAAGAGACGCUGGAGCUUCCGGCGUCCCGCGGCGUCGGUGAGCGCCAGGGACACGAGCAGCGCCACGUCCGGCUGCCACGGCAAGGGCCAGCUCGCGUCCGCGUCGUCGCACUGCUUCUCGGAGGUGCAUGUGGUGACGGUGCAGGACCAGCAUGCCGUCGGUGCUGCGCCGCGCGUGGUCGCGAUCACCGCGGCCACGGCGCCGCCGGAGGGCAGCGCCCGUGACGCCGAGGAAGCCGCGGCCGUCAAGAUUCAGUCGGCCUUCCGAUCGUACCUGGCGAGGACGGCACUGUGCGCGCUGCGAGGGAUGGUGAAGCUGCAGGCCAUCGUGAGGGGCCAGCUGGUGAGGCGGCAGGCGGACAUGACGCUCCGCCGCAUCCAGGCGCUCGUCGCCGCCCAGAGGCGCGCGCGUGCCGAGCGACUGCGGCUCCGGCUCCUCGACGACGGCACGCCGCCGGCGCGGACGGGCCGCCGUUCGCCGCAGCAUCACUGCUCCCCCCGGAAGCCACUAUCCGUGGCAAUGCAGGAGGAGAGCGGGAAGGGCAUCGGGGAGGUGGACAGCGGCGGCGGCGCACGGCGCAACAGCUGCUGCUCGACGCCGGCGAAGGCGGAGCUGUACUACAACCAGAAGGCGUCGCCGGGGCCGUCGGGGCUGACGUCGGACUUGAGCGUGCGGACGUUCAGCGGCCGGUUCGACGAGGAGCACUACUCGUCCGCCUCCUUCUCCGCGGCGGCGUCCGAGGCGAGCGGGCGCCACCGCGGCGGCAAGGCGUGCCACGCCCACGCCGCGAGCUACAUGGCCAACACGGAGUCGUCGCGCGCCAAGCAUGCCCGGUCGCAGAGCGCGCCGCGGCAUCGCCCCGAGGCGGCCUCGCCGUCGCGGUCGUACGAGCGGCCGCCUAGUGGGGGCGGCGGCCGGCGCAGGGCGUCCCUCGACCCGCGGGACCUCGCCGGCCAAGUGCGCGCCCCCUCGCCAAGGAGCUCCGUUGACGCGGGGCGUGUGACGCCGCAGGACAGGCCCGGCGCUUCGCUCGCCGUCAGCGAGCGCGGGUCGUCGUCGAGCACCGCGCUGCUGCUGACCUCGGCGGCCGCGGUGCGCAUCGCGAAAUGA
RNAcentral lists this ribosomal RNA (1197 nucleotides) under Triticum aestivum (bread wheat). RNAcentral describes it as "partial small subunit ribosomal RNA". Lineage: Eukaryota; Viridiplantae; Streptophyta; Magnoliopsida; Poales; Poaceae. The record is from RNAcentral.